UCGGGUUUUUAUAUCUGGUUUUCUAAAAAAAUAAAUUUAAUUUAAAUUAAAAAUAUUAUUUAUUUUUAAUUAUAGAAAAUUAAGGUAGAUCUUAAUUUUCAAAAAAGAAUUAUUUAUAGGAUUUAAAAUUUUUAUCUAUUUAAAUAGGCUUUAAUAGUAGUCAUUUUAUUAAAGUGUUUUAACUAAAUUCACCAAAAUAUUAUUAUUUAUUAAUCCUUAAUCUAGGUAUUAGAAAAUUAAUUUUAAUAAUACAAAUUAAGUUACUAUGAAAUUAUUAGUAAAAUUUUAUAUAAGUUUAUUUACAAAAUUUUAUAAUAAAAAUUUUAUUAUAAUAAAAUUUUACUUAAAGAACUCGGCAAAUAAAUAUUCUCGCCUGUUUAACAAAAACAUCUCCAAAUGAAUAAAUAUUUGGUAUAACCUGCCCACUGAAUUUAUUAAAGGGCCGCGGUAAUUCUAACUGUGCCAAGGUAGCAU
Molecule: ribosomal RNA, 474 nt
Filed under: Diogenes rectimanus
Lineage: Eukaryota; Metazoa; Arthropoda; Malacostraca; Decapoda; Diogenidae
Description: partial large subunit ribosomal RNA
Source: RNAcentral